ACGCUAGCUACAGGCUUAACACAUGCAAGUCGAGGGGCAGCAUGGUCUUAGCUUGCUAAGGCCGAUGGCGACCGGCGCACGGGUGAGUAACACGUAUCCAACCUGCCGUCUACUCUUGGACAGCCUUCUGAAAGGAAGAUUAAUACAAGAUGGCAUCAUGAGUCCGCAUGUUCACAUGAUUAAAGGUAUUCCGGUAGACGAUGGGGAUGCGUUCCAUUAGAUAGUAGGCGGGGUAACGGCCCACCUAGUCUUCGAUGGAUAGGGGUUCUGAGAGGAAGGUCCCCCACAUUGGAACUGAGACACGGUCCAAACUCCUACGGGAGGCAGCAGUGAGGAAUAUUGGUCAAUGGGCGAGAGCCUGAACCAGCCAAGUAGCGUGAAGGAUGACUGCCCUAUGGGUUGUAAACUUCUUUUAUAAAGGAAUAAAGUCGGGUAUGGAUACCCGUUUGCAUGUACUUUAUGAAUAAGGAUCGGCUAACUCCGUGCCAGCAGCCGCGGUAAUACGGAGGAUCCGAGCGUUAUCCGGAUUUAUUGGGUUUAAAGGGAGCGUAGAUGGAUGUUUAAGUCAGUUGUGAAAGUUUGCGGCUCAACCGUAAAAUUGCAGUUGAUACUGGAUAUCUUGAGUGCAGUUGAGGCAGGCGGAAUUCGUGGUGUAGCGGUGAAAUGCUUAGAUAUCACGAAGAACUCCGAUCGCGAAGGCAGCCUGCUAAGCUGCAACUGACAUUGAGGCUCGAAAGUGUGGGUAUCAAACAGGAUUAGAUACCCUGGUAGUCCACACGGUAAACGAUGAAUACUCGCUGUUUGCGAUAUACAGCAAGCGGCCAAGCGAAAGCGUUAAGUAUUCCACCUGGGGAGUACGCCGGCAACGGUGAAACUCAAAGGAAUUGACGGGGGCCCGCACAAGCGGAGGAACAUGUGGUUUAAUUCGAUGAUACGCGAGGAACCUUACCCGGGCUUAAAUUGCAGAUGAAUUACGGUGAAAGCCGUAAGCCGCAAGGCAUCUGUGAAGGUGCUGCAUGGUUGUCGUCAGCUCGUGCCGUGAGGUGUCGGCUUAAGUGCCAUAACGAGCGCAACCCUUGUUGUCAGUUACUAACAGGUUCCGCUGAGGACUCUGACAAGACUGCCAUCGUAAGAUGUGAGGAAGGUGGGGAUGACGUCAAAUCAGCACGGCCCUUACGUCCGGGGCUACACACGUGUUACAAUGGGGGGUACAGAGGGCCGCUACCACGCGAGUGGAUGCCAAUCCCCAAAACCUCUCUCAGUUCGGACUGGAGUCUGCAACCCGACUCCACGAAGCUGGAUUCGCUAGUAAUCGCGCAUCAGCCACGGCGCGGUGAAUACGUUCCCGGGCCUUGUACACACCGCCCGUCAAGCCAUGGGAGCCGGGGGUACCUGAAGUGCGUAACCGCGAGGAGCGCCCUAGGGUAAAACUGGUGAAUG
Molecule: ribosomal RNA, 1440 nt
Filed under: uncultured organism
Description: SSU rRNA
Rfam family: Bacterial small subunit ribosomal RNA
Source: RNAcentral